GAUGAACGCUAGCGGCAGGCUUAAUACAUGCAAGUCGAGGGGCAGCAGGACUGUAGCAAUACAGUUGCUGGCGACCGGCAAACGGGUGCGGAACACGUACACAACUUUCCUUUAAGUGGGGAAGUAGCCCGGGGAAACCCGGAUUAAUACCCGUAACAUUAUGAAGUGGCAUCAUUUAUAAUUAUAGCUCAGGCGCUUAAAGA
Molecule: ribosomal RNA, 203 nt
Filed under: uncultured bacterium
Lineage: Bacteria
Description: partial 16S ribosomal RNA
Rfam family: Bacterial small subunit ribosomal RNA
Source: RNAcentral